RNAcentral lists this ribosomal RNA (253 nucleotides) under uncultured bacterium. RNAcentral's name for it is "partial 16S ribosomal RNA". It matches the Rfam family "Bacterial small subunit ribosomal RNA", at positions 524 to 776 of the family's 1533-position model. The record is from RNAcentral.
UACAGAGGGUGCAAGCGUUAAUCGGAAUUACUGGGCGUAAAGCGCACGUAGGCGGCUUUCUAAGUCAGACGUGAAAUCCCUCGGCUUAACCGGGGAACUGCAUCUGAUACUGGAUGGCUUGAGUUUGGGAGAGGGAUGCGGAAUUCCAGGUGUAGCGGUGAAAUGCGUAGAUAUCUGGAGGAACACCGGUGGCGAAGGCGGCAUCCUGGACCAACACUGACGCUGAGGAGCGAAAGCCAGGGGAGCAAACGGG